CAUGUCUUUUUGAUUUUAAUUUAAGGUUUGAUCUGCUCGAUGAUUAAUUAAAUUGCCGCAGUAUUUUAACUGUGCUAAGGUAGCAUAAUCAUUAGUUUUUUAAUUUGAAACUGGAAUGAAUGAUUGGACAAGAUGAUUUCUGUCUCAUUUUAAAUUUAUUUUAAUUUUAUUUUUAAGUGAAAAAGCUUAAAUAUUUUUAAAAGACGAGAAGACCCUAUAGAGUUUUACAUUAAUUUAAUAUUAGAAAGUUAUUGAAAUGUUUAUUUGGGGUGAUUUGAGAAUUUAAUAAAUUUCUUAAAUUUUAAAUUGAUGAUAGUUAAGCUUAAAUUUUAAUAGUUUUAUAAAUAAUAUAAAUUACCUUAGGGAUAACAGCGUAAUUUUUUUUAAAAGUUCUUAUUGUAAAAAAAGUUUGCGACCUCGAUGUUGGAUUAAAAUGAAUUAUUGGCGCAAUAGCUAAUCGAUUGGGUCUGUUCGACCUUUAAAAUUUUACAUGAUCUGAGU
RNAcentral lists this ribosomal RNA (501 nucleotides) under Platerodrilini sp. UPOL 001379. RNAcentral describes it as "partial 16S ribosomal RNA". It matches the Rfam family "Bacterial large subunit ribosomal RNA", at positions 1816 to 2610 of the family's 2925-position model. The record is from RNAcentral. Lineage: Eukaryota; Metazoa; Arthropoda; Insecta; Coleoptera; Lycidae.